UAUUUGUUUCGAUGCGAACUGGCAUCGAGUAGAUUUUCGUUUACAAUUUAGGUACACGCGAAAUAGAUUGAGUGUUUAUUGCGUUUUGUAAAUUCUUUCCAGAGCAUCGCGGCUCUUUCAAAUUUUCUAUCGCGAGGUAGAGUCACGGUUGUUCGCCGACUAUAAUCUUCGGUCGCGUUAGUAGCUUUCUAAUUUUUUGUUUUAUUUAUUCAACUAAAAUUGCUCGAUACCGGUGUUAGAGUCGGUGCAUCAUUGAAGAGGAGUUUUAAGCGAUGCUUAACAAAUAGGAAAUGGUUCGUGAGUCUAGCAGAGCUACUACGAUGUCUUCGGAGUUGCUGGGCUACUACGAUGUCUAUCACAUAGCAACGAAUCUUCAAGUUCGAUGACAACUAUACUGGAUCAAAGAUGCGAGUGCAACAUACCUGUUUGCCGUUGAAAAUGAAAUUGACAAAUUUGGCAAUACACAUCCAGCUUAUGAUGAAAGGAGCAAAACCCUCCAUGAACACGUCGAUGUCG
Molecule: long non-coding RNA, 516 nt
Organism: Hylaeus anthracinus
Lineage: Eukaryota; Metazoa; Arthropoda; Insecta; Hymenoptera; Colletidae
Exons: 3
Source: RefSeq, a predicted model, not a curated record